CCUGCUGUUCGGCCUGCUCGGCGGCGGUCUCUGGACCUAUCCGACCUUCAAGCUGCUCGCCGCCGAAGCAUGGCGCAGGAAGCCGCGCAAUCUCGCCGCCUUCCUUGGUGACGCACUGACGCCGGCGCGCGGCUGGCUGGAGACGUCCUACCAGUCCGACCUUUCCCGCGCGCUUUGGGCGCCCUGGGUGCUUCAUGC
Molecule: unclassified non-coding RNA, 198 nt
Filed under: plant metagenome
Description: partial contains 5.8S ribosomal RNA, internal transcribed spacer 2, and large subunit ribosomal RNA
Source: RNAcentral